This 495-nucleotide ribosomal RNA is filed under the name uncultured bacterium. RNAcentral's name for it is "partial 16S ribosomal RNA". It matches the Rfam family "Bacterial small subunit ribosomal RNA", at positions 28 to 507 of the family's 1533-position model. The record is from RNAcentral.
GACGAACGCUGGCGGCGUGCCUAAUACAUGCAAGUAGAACGCUGAAGGAGGAGCUUGCUCUUCUGGAUGAGUUGCGAACGGGUGAGUAACGCGUAGGUAACCUGCCUGGUAGCGGGGGAUAACUAUUGGAAACGAUAGCUAAUACCGCAUAACAGUAGAUGUUGCAUGACAUUUACUUAAAAGGUGCAAUUGCAUCACUACCAGAUGGACCUGCGUUGUAUUAGCUAGUUGGUGGGGUAACGGCCCACCAAGGCGACGAUACAUAGCCGACCUGAGAGGGUGAUCGGCCACACUGGGACUGAGACACGGCCCAGACUCCUACGGGAGGCAGCAGUAGGGAAUCUUCGGCAAUGGACGGAAGUCUGACCGAGCAACGCCGCGUGAGUGAAGAAGGUUUUCGGAUCGUAAAGCUCUGUUGUAAGAGAAGAACGAGUGUGAGAGUGGAAAGUUCACACUGUGACGGUAUCUUACCAGAAAGGGACGGCUAACUACGUG